Molecule: transfer RNA, 72 nt
Filed under: Camelus dromedarius (Arabian camel)
Lineage: Eukaryota; Metazoa; Chordata; Mammalia; Artiodactyla; Camelidae
Also listed under: 1 other name
Rfam family: tRNA
About the family: Transfer RNA (tRNA) molecules are approximately 80 nucleotides in length. Their secondary structure includes four short double-helical elements and three loops (D, anti-codon, and T loops).
Source: Rfam by way of RNAcentral
GAGGAUAUAGCUCAGUGGUAGAGCACAUGCUUAGCAUGCCUGAGGUCCAGGGUUCAAUCCCCAGUACCUCCA